AAAGGUGUCCGAUUUCAGUACUUCUGAUGUUGGCUGAGACGACAUGAUAUGACACCCUCCCAGGCGAGAAUAGCUAUCACAUCUACUUCUUGCUUCUUCCCUGCUAGACACAUGUUCUCGCUGGUUUUUGCUGGUAUCAAAUU
This is a non-coding RNA of Caenorhabditis elegans, 143 nucleotides long. Lineage: Eukaryota; Metazoa; Nematoda; Chromadorea; Rhabditida; Rhabditidae. The record is from Ensembl.